RNAcentral lists this ribosomal RNA (277 nucleotides) under uncultured bacterium. Its description in RNAcentral is "partial 16S ribosomal RNA". It matches the Rfam family "Bacterial small subunit ribosomal RNA", at positions 28 to 297 of the family's 1533-position model. The record is from RNAcentral.
GACGAACGCUGGCGGCACGCUUAACACAUGCAAGUCGAGCGAGAACCAGUCCUUCGGGACUGGGGACAGCGGCGAACGGGUGAGUAACACGUGAGUAAUCCACCCUCGGUACCGGGAUAGCCCGGGGAAACCCGGAUUAAUACCGGAUGGCCCAUUUGUCCUUCGGGAAUAAAUGGAAAAGGUAGCUUAGGCCUCCGACCGAGGACGAGCUCGCGGCGGAUUAGCUUGUUGGCGGGGUAACGGCCCACCAAGGCGACGAUCCGUAGCUGGUCUGAGA